CAGUAGCCGCGGUAAUACGAAGGGUGCAAGCGUUACUCGGAAUUACUGGGCGUAAAGCGUGCGUAGGCGGUUCGUUAAGUCUGUUGUGAAAGCCCCGGGCUCAACCUGGGAAUGGCAAUGGAUACUGGCGAGCUAGAGUGUGUCAGAGGAUGGUGGAAUUCCCGGUGUAGCGGUGAAAUGCGUAGAGAUCGGGAGGAACAUCAGUGGCGAAGGCGGCCAUCUGGGACAACACUGACGCUGAGGCACGAAAGCGUGGGGAGCAAACAGGAUUAGAUACCCCAGUAGUCCCUGUCUCUUAUAC
This 301-nucleotide ribosomal RNA is filed under the name uncultured bacterium. RNAcentral's name for it is "partial 16S ribosomal RNA". It matches the Rfam family "Bacterial small subunit ribosomal RNA", at positions 509 to 807 of the family's 1533-position model. The record is from RNAcentral.